Molecule: long non-coding RNA, 3981 nt
Filed under: Homo sapiens (human)
Lineage: Eukaryota; Metazoa; Chordata; Mammalia; Primates; Hominidae
Description: HSALNT0387083
Source: RNAcentral
CAGGCGUGAGCCACCGCGCCCGGCCAAUUUCUAAGGCUCCAUUAGGGCUAAGGUUCAUGUAUCCAUGGUGAAGUAUAGAAGAACUCAGAAUCGUUCCAAACAUAAUGGGCUUGGAGUAAUGGAGAACUCCAAGGGCAGGAGGUAACCAUUAAAGAGGACCAUCAUGUAGUGUGAGGAGUCAACAUUUCACACUAGAAAGCCCUUGGUUCAAGUUUUGUCUCUGCCACCUACAGAUUUUGUAACCCUGAGAGAAAAGGAAAAUCCUACGGAGGAGGGGCUCUGAUGGCUUUGAAGAAGGCAGUGAAUGGCCACAUGUUCCCUGAGGACAGCACAGGCUAAAGGCUCAGCUAGAAGAAAGGCACAGAGAUAGCAAGGGAAACUAGCUACCUCUUUAUGUACUGCCCUAUGGAGAGGCACACAUGUCAAGAAACUGAGGGAGUGCCUUCCAGUCAACAGCCAGCCAGGAACUAAGGUGCUCAGUACAGCAGCCUCCACAAAGGACUGAACAAUGCCAACAGCUAUUUGACUGUGCUUGGAAGAUCUCCGUUUAGUUAACCCUUCAGAUGAGACCGCAGCCCUGGCCAGCAAACAAAUUGCAGCCUAUGGAAAGACCUUAAGGCAGAAGCACCCAACUGAACCACCCGAGGGCUCUGACUUACAGAAACUGUGAGCAUAUAGUGAAAUGGCCUCUACCUUAUUUUGAAUGGAUUUCUGGGAUAAAGUUCUUCAGUGAUAACAUGUUUGAAGUUUCAGGAAAGAGGCACUGGCCUUUACUUCUCCACCUCGAUUCACUUCCAUGCUGUUGACAAAUGUUAUAGUUGCCCAGGAUCAGAGGGAGAGACUGACCCUGUGACCAUUUCCCCAAAGGCGGCCUUUGGCCACUCCGUGCACUGGAGCACAUGACCCUCUGCCUCGCCCCUGCCACAUUAACCAGGUGACUGUCUGCCAAGGCCCAGCCCAGUCCAAAGGGAAUUGGGAUUCAGUGUCCCAAACAAGGCACUGAUUAGCUGGUAAUCAGGCAGCGAUUAGCAGGUCGGGUCACCUGCAGUUCAGUGCCCAUUGUUCCCAGCAAAGUCCUGGGAUAUUUGCCACACGGCUGGCCAGUCUGAAUGUCUGAGGAUUCCGAUGCCUGCAGCUCUGCUGUGGAGAUGUGUGAUUAGGAACAAAUCCUCUGUUCUCUAAGCCCAUCCCCCCAAGGAGGCAGUGCAGUGUGAAUAGUGAAUCCCCUUCUCUAUUCACACACAAAGGUUUGGGGAGAAGAAUGGCCUGCUUAGGAGCUCAACAGUGACAGAGAGGUGAGGCCCCAAGGAUGCACUGAAGAACUGAAAGCAAAUUAGCACAUUCCUCUUCCUGCACCAUGAUGACUGAGAGUGGAGGAACGGGCAAGCCCACAUCCAGACUGGGAUUCUACUGUGAUCUUGAGAUGUGACCUUGGACAAGAUUUUUAACCUCUGAGCUUGUUUACCUUGAUUUUGAGAGUUUAAUAACACUUGCCUCUUCAGCCUUUGAAGUUCAGAUUUAGAAAAUGAACAUAAAGCAGUUACUACAGUCUCUGUAGCGUGUGACCAAUACAUGCUAUCACCGUUAUCAUCGGUCAUAGUAAUAUCAAUAUUUAAAAUAUCAUAAUUAUUUGAAAUACUUUAUUUAAAAUAUGCCUCUGUAACAUCACUUCUAAAUGAGAGAUAGCCCCUUUGUAGGAGGCCAUGAUAAGGAUGAGAUGAGAAUUCUUGUAAAGCUUUCAUCACAGGGCCUAGCAAGUAAUUAGCACUUAAUAAAUCAUAGUAACAAUGGUGAUCACCAUCAUUAUUGUUUGUACAAAGUUGAAUGGAAAAGACUAUUUUGUAGCACUUUUCACUGUAUUGUAGCAUGUGAUCAUGAAAAUUUAGACAAAGCAUAAUUUUUCGAGCUAAAAGGAGAUUAAUGAAAUUAUUCAUGGCACAUUCACACCAUUGGACACUGUUCAGCUUUAUAGUCUAUGUGCCCUUCCACCACCUGGAGAUCUUGCUAAAAUUCUCAUUUGGUAAAUCUGGGGUCAGCCCAAGAUUACGCAUUUCCAGUGGAUUCUCAAGUGAUUCCAGGGCUACCUGUCCAUGGACUCCACUUUGAGUAAACAGGAUGUACACUUUUACAAUAAAAAAUGUGUAUAUGCAUUUAUACAGAAAUAUAGAAAAAUAUUCCUAGGCUAUACUCAAGAUGGGGGACAGUGUUUUUCACCCCCUUCGCUAAACUGUACUAUCUUUCCCAGAAAUUUAAUAACAAACAUGUAAAAACAUUUAAAAAUGCAAUAAAUUUUAUUGAUGCAAGUUCUUCCCUUCUCUAAAAGUUUGUCACACAGCCAGGUUUUCCAGCACAUUCUUUGCCAGGUCUGCAUGCCUGAUGCCAUGAUUUUCUUCUAGAGCCACACUAGGCCUUUUCAGCAUCCUAACCACAAGGAAAUCACAUUAAUGCGUGCUCAUUCUGGAGGCUUCAACUCUCCAAGGAGCAGGUGGGCCCCAGCUCAGAUAUAGCUGCUGGCCAGAGUUCAGGACCCAGAGGCGUGCAGGCCAGCCAGGUGCAAGAUAGACAGUUAUUAACUCAGAGAAGCCCAGAGAGUUUCUAAAAUCUGAUUCUGGCUGCACUUGGAAAGGGCGUUCCAGUUAACAUGGCGGGGUGCUUUCUGCAGUUUAAAGGAGCUCAAGGAAGUUCCUUGUACAAAAGAGAUGGCUCCACUAGCCCUUCCUCCAAAGGGUGGCCUCAGAGAGGACCCUUGUGAUCUAAGGGUAGGUGGGUUUAAGGUUUUUCUUCCUUUUAACUCCUCUAAACGGAGACUGGGAUACUUACUUGGGUACUUGAGCCACGUAUUUAUCUUAUUCUCAUCAGACUGUUUCUGUCACUGAGAGGUUGAAAGAGGUCUGAAUGAGCAUCCAGAGACAGAAUUAGAUAGAUAGAACCUCAGUUGAAUUUUGACCUUGCCAUUUAAUAGCUAAACUGCCUUAGGUCUAAGCAGUGACUCUGUUUCCUCCUAUGGAAAAUGGAAGUAGCAAUGCUCUGGUCUCUCCAGGAUUCAAACUUAUGGAGCUAAAGAUUCUAGUUUCCAGUUAGGUAAAAGCAGGCUUGCAAAUGCCAAUACUAAUAAUUAUUAUUUUUAUUCAGUGUUCACCAUCCUUUGCACCUUAACAUACACCUUGUACCUGCCUAGAUAAGCCCCCACGCGCUGCCCACCUGAGAUCCCUGGUAUGGGGUCUCCAUCACCCCAUCCCUCUGUGUAUCAGGCAGUGGGUAGAGGAAAACAGAUACAUACAAAAACUGGGCAGUGGGAGGAGAGUUUACUAAAGGGAUAUUUAACUGAGGUGAGGGCGGGACUUGAGGAAUAAAUAACAUACAGUGGCAUGGAUAGGGGUUGAGGAGGUACAUUCCCCCCCAAGCUUCUGGCUUUCAGUAGAGAGAACAGCCAACUUGUCAAGAAGGGGGAUGCCAAGGAAUAAAUAGCCUGACUCCUGUCUUCCCACACUCCUGUGACCUCCUCAUGCUUUUGCCAAGAUCUUGGCUUGGUUUCUCCUCUGAUUGAUUUCAACCAACUUUCUGAUAUUGGCAGGCGGCUAUCUUAUGUGCCCAUGUUACAUGCUCAUGAUAAAGCUGCAUUUCCUGAGGGGACACCAAUGGAUACACCUCUGCCUGGCACGCAGCUUAGAGGCUAAAUGUAUGAAAAGCAACACCAUGCAAAUCAUUUUGAAACUGCUGUGGAACUCUCACGGGACCCUCCAUUCUAGACAUCCAGUCCCACUAGUGAUCUGACCAUGAAACCUACUAAGAGACUUCCAGAAGAAGAUGACCUCUGAAAGGAGAAAACUUUCUUCCAAGCUUCUGUGGAACAAGAAGAUGCCAUCCCUUUGGUGGAGCCCAAAGGGAAACCAGGACACUGAAGGAAUUAACCAGAAAGAAAAGAAGAGAAGAAGGAGAAGAAAGAAGAAGAAGAAGAAGGAGAAGGAGAAGGAGACGAGG